This 256-nucleotide ribosomal RNA is filed under the name uncultured bacterium. Its description in RNAcentral is "partial 16S ribosomal RNA". It matches the Rfam family "Bacterial small subunit ribosomal RNA", at positions 524 to 776 of the family's 1533-position model. The record is from RNAcentral.
UACGAAGGGGGCUAGCGUUGCUCGGAAUCACUGGGCGUAAAGGGCGCGUAGGCGGCCGAUCAAGUCGGAGGUGAAAGCCCAGGGCUCAACCCUGGAAUGGCCCUUCGAUACUGGUUGGCUCGAGACCGGAAGAGGUAAGUGGAACUGCGAGUGUAGAGGUGAAAUUCGUAGAUAUUCGCAAGAACACCAGUGGCGAAGGCGGCUUACUGGUCCGGUUCUGACGCUGAGGCGCGAAAAGCGUGGGGGAGCAAACAGG